AUUGAACGCUGGCGGCAUGCCUUACACAUACAAGUCGAACAGCAGCACGGGAGCAAUCCUGGUGGCGAGUGGUGAACGGGUGAGUAAUGUAUCGGAACGUGCCCAGUCGUGGGGGAUAACGUAGCGAAAGCUACGCUAAUACCGCAUACGAUCUGUGGAUGAAAGCGGGGGACCGUAAGGCCUCGCGCGAUUGGAGCGGCCGAUAUCAGAUUAGGUAGUUGGUGGGGUAAAGGCCUACCAAGCCGACGAUCUGUAGCUGGUCUGAGAGGACGACCAGCCACACUGGGACUGAGACACGGCCCAGACUCCUACGGGAGGCAGCAGUGGGGAAUUUUGGACAAUGGGCGCAAGCCUGAUCCAGCAAUGCCGCGUGCAGGAUGAAGGCCUUCGGGUUGUAAACUGCUUUUGUACGGAGCGAAAAGGCUCUCUCUAAUACAGGGGGCUCAUGACGGUACCGUAAGGAUAAGCACCGGCUAACUACGUGCCAGCAGCCGCCGCAG
This 500-nucleotide ribosomal RNA is filed under the name uncultured bacterium. RNAcentral describes it as "partial 16S ribosomal RNA". It matches the Rfam family "Bacterial small subunit ribosomal RNA", at positions 30 to 523 of the family's 1533-position model. The record is from RNAcentral.